CUGUAGCAUGCAUGUGUAUUACUGCUCAUUCUCUGCCUUCUGAUUCUUUUUUUCCCCUCUAUUUCUGCAGGACUGGCAGAUAUCUAUAGGAAUACAGCUAGGAAAUUAAAUGUGCUCAGGCAUGAGCUGGUGCUGUUUCUAAUGUUAAACUGUCAUAUAGGGGCUACAUCCUGAGUAGGGAGGCUCAUCCAGUUGCAAGCUUAGACUUCUGUUUUCCCCUGGAACUUCUGUUUCAUGAGGAAUGGAUUUAAUCUUCAUUUUGUUCCUGCUUUUACACCUGCCUAGUUGUGGUGGAACACAUCACCCUCAGCUCAGCAGGGUCUCCAGGAGCCCUCCUGCUAAGUGCCUGCCAGAGACAGAGCCAAAGUCAGUGGCCCUCCAUAAACUGACCUGAUGAGGAUAUGAACAAAUUACUGACACUGCUGGUCACACAACAGCCCCUGAAUGUGACAGUGUGGUCAUUGGUGUGGCACGCAUCAGAGCACAGACUGAACAAUGCCACCUGUGAUCAUCCCAGCAGACUCAAAAGCAAAGGCUGUCCUAAGUACUCACACAGAAAUACUUUAUUGCUGCAGAGACCAGCUCCAGAGCAGAAUUACUGCCUCAAGACGUGGCUGUGACUGGUUUCAGUCCACGGGCUGAAGACUCAGUUCUCCAAGGAGAACCCCAAUACUCUGCAUGAUCUUCUUGUCACCAUUACUUACUCUUGUAAUACUGCGUAGGCUUUAUGCCACUGAGGAGAUGAGGUGGGAAGGAAGGUUUACCUGGCUGACCACCAGAAGAGCUGAGGACCUGCGCAAUGGGGGCCCUGGGCCCUGCCUUCUCAGGAGCUGGAAACGGCAAUGGUCGUGUCAUUCAGUGCACUGAACUUUUGAAGGUGAGUCUCCAAGUGCCUGUCAGCAAUGUUCGUGAAGGAACCGGCCCAAUGCAGCCAUGCAGGAGAUGAUGGUACCUGCACUCACACUUCCACAGAAACAGAAUAGCACGGGGCGAGAGCAUUUGAUUAAAAAUGCGAAUUGUGUCUGUGGUCAGAACGAUCUGAUGUGGAAAUGAAUUGAAAAUCACAUGAUUUUGCUUAUGUCUGUGACCUACAGAAGUGCAAGGACAUGAACACAUACUUUUUAUUAUAGACAAAUGGAAACAGCUUGAUACACUGUGAAUCAGUCAUGUUCUUUAAAGUUCAAAUCUGUUUUCUGCUGGAAAAUUUAUUAGUUCUUACAGCAAUAAACACUACUCUUUGGCAUUUCUAGCUGCUAGA
Molecule: long non-coding RNA, 1258 nt
Filed under: Phasianus colchicus (ring-necked pheasant)
Lineage: Eukaryota; Metazoa; Chordata; Aves; Galliformes; Phasianidae
Description: lncRNA (ENSPCLG00000012022.1)
Source: RNAcentral